This 149-nucleotide ribosomal RNA is filed under the name Stereum sanguinolentum. RNAcentral's name for it is "5.8S ribosomal RNA". It matches the Rfam family "5.8S ribosomal RNA". From Rfam's summary of the family: 5.8S ribosomal RNA (5.8S rRNA) is a component of the large subunit of the eukaryotic ribosome. It is transcribed by RNA polymerase I as part of the 45S precursor that also contains 18S and 28S rRNA. Lineage: Eukaryota; Fungi; Basidiomycota; Agaricomycetes; Russulales; Stereaceae. The record is from RNAcentral.
CUAAUACAACUUUCAACAACGGAUCUCUUGGCUCUCGCAUCGAUGAAGAACGCAGCGAAAUGCGAUAAGUAAUGUGAAUUGCAGAAUUCAGUGAAUCAUCGAAUCUUUGAACGCACCUUGCGCCCUUUGGUAUUCCGAAGGGCACACCU